Molecule: ribosomal RNA, 392 nt
Filed under: uncultured bacterium
Lineage: Bacteria
Description: partial 16S ribosomal RNA
Rfam family: Bacterial small subunit ribosomal RNA
Source: RNAcentral
AUACGGAGGAUCCGAGCGUUAUCCGGAUUUAUUGGGUUUAAAGGGUGCGCAGGCGGCCAUUUAAGUCAGCGGUUAAAUCGUGGGGCUCAACCCCAUUCUGCCGUUGAUACUGGGUGGCUUGAUUGCGGUCGAGGUUGGCGGAAUUCGUUGUGUAGCGGUGAAAUGCAUAGAUAUGACGAAGAACACCGAUUGCGUAGGCAGCUUACCAGACCGCAAAUGACGCUCAUGCACGAAAGUGCGGGGAUCGAACAGGAUUAGAUACCCUGGUAGUCCGCACAGUAAACGAUGAAUACUUGUUUUCGGCGAUAUAAUGUCGGAGGCAAAGCGAAAGCGAUAAGUAUUCCACCUGGGGAGUACGCCGGCAACGGUGAAACUCAAAGGAAUUGACGGGG